CUGCAAUUUGGCAGCACAUAUACUAAAAGUGGAAGGAUUCAGAGAAGAUUAGCAUGACCCAUGUGCAAGUUCAUGAAGCAUUUAUAUUUUUAAAGGACAUCCAAAUUUUA
This is a small nuclear RNA of Acomys russatus (golden spiny mouse), 110 nucleotides long. The record is from RefSeq and is a predicted model, not a curated record. NCBI's taxonomy places the organism in Eukaryota, Metazoa, Chordata, Mammalia, Rodentia, Muridae.